UGUAACUAUUGAGUGGGAACUAAAUCCAGUCCCAGUUUUAAUGCUUUUCCAAUUCAAACGUGUUAUGCAUGUAUGUGUCUCUUUCUAACCCUUCGAGCUUCUCUCUGUGUACGAUUUAGGGUUACAUUCCGAAAAGCAAAUGGGAGAUGGACACUUCUGAGGCAAAGCUAGGUGGGUAUUGCCUUUUUCCUGUUUUUAUAUGUGAUACCUGAUGGUAAUGGUCAUAGAGCUUUUCACUGCACACAGUCAAGGGCCGGAAACUUCUGCUUAAAGCAAGAUUUUGGCCAACCCACAUCCUUCAGUCAUCUCACCAGCUUCUGCCCUAACUGCUUACACCUGUGACAGGUUAAAAAGCAUAUUGUCUACAAAAAAUACUUUUGGUAUCAUUGGAAGUUUUUGGGAUAAUUAGAAAUAUUUGAUAAGCAUAAUACCAUACUGUCAUUUCUGAAAUUCAUUUUUUAGUAUUAAUCAGAAAUGUGUCCCUAACAUUUUUUUAAAAGAUACUUAUCUGUAACCCAAAGUUGAGCUUCUUUGUGAGUACUUUAGUAAUAAUUUUAAUAAAUAUUUGUGUUUUUAAAAGUAACUGAAAAUACCUUGGGUAAUAAAUUUGGUUUCUGUGGUAAGGAAAGGAAAGUAAAUAUAUAAUUCGAAUAUUCAAGGAGACUCCAUUUAAAUUUUCCUUCAGGCUGUCUUUAGUGCUGUGUUACAAGGUUAACCUUUUAAAAUAACUAUUUAAAUCAAACCUUUGAGUUGCUUGAUUUAGUCAAGUAAAAAACAAAUUGUAUGAAAUGGAUUUCUUCAGGAUCUUAGUUUGAUAUUGUAAGGUAGUGUUUUUUGGGUUUUGUUUUUUUUUUUUUAUUUUUUUACUUCACUUAAAGAGACUGAUUUAACAUGUCAAUUAAGAUGUGUCAAUAAAAUGUUAAGGAAGCAUGCCAUGCCAGGCCUUCUGAUUAGGAAAGGUGACUCUUGUAUUUCUUCUCUUGCUGGUGUACUCUUACUCCAAAACCAAGCAACCAUCUAAUCCUAAAUUUGCAGAGUUAGUCUGGCUACUCAGGGUAUGUGUUUUAUAUCAAAGGGGAUACAUUGUAUACACACUUGCAUGGGUCAUGCCUUGGAUUGUGCCCAAGCACUUGGGUUAGAGAUAGCUGGUUUUGACUAGGUUGUAUAUUAAAAGAUAAGUUCACAAGCUCUAUUAUUGUAUUAUGGGAAUAGGUGUUUGCUAUAAAGUCUAAAAAGUUUUAGCGUGUGUCAAAUGAAAAUUAUUUGUGGUUUAUUGAUGUAUUCAUCUAUUAAUCUUUCUUGAGAGAAAUCUUAAUAAUAGUCAACUGUCUCCUUUCCACAUACUAUAGACAUUUAUUUGCUUAAAUACAGUAAAUAUUUAAGAAAAAUAAUAGCUACAACUUCCUUUUUAAAAAGGGUGGUGUUUUAUUUUUGCUUGUUUUGAAAGAGGUUAGCCCUGUUUGAAGUUGCGUACUUUUAAAAUAACCUGUGAGACUGUAAGAUGAUUUGAUUCUGUCAGUGCUUUAUUGAUGGCAAAGAACAAUCAUAAAAAUAAGGGAAUUGUCAGAAUGGUGCAUAUUUUUAACAAAUAUUCUUCCAGAGCCUUGUGUAAUACAUGAUUUGGGAUUUUGCUUUUUUUAAAAAAAUGCCAUUCCAUUUUCUAUUUUCCUUUCUAGUUUUAGAGGAGAAAAGAAAAUGGAAUAUAGCCAUGAUAGCUGUUUAAGAAAAACAUUAUUACUAUUUGUAUUCAUUUCUGGGAAAUUUGACUUGUCUACUAUUUAUUUCUCAGAAAUGUGUCUUAUACAGUCUGUCAGUUUUGAAGAUAUUACACAGUAAAUUGCAGAAAUGGAUUUGUCAUAAAUCCUUUCAGAAAUGACACUAAUGGUCUGGUGAUAAAUCUAGAAAGGGGAAUUUUUAAUUAGUUUUAAAAAGAGUGAGUGAUAUUUUGUAUAAUUACCCGGCACCUGGCACCGCUGGAUUAUCUUGAGAACUAAUCCAGCCUUGG
This 2005-nucleotide long non-coding RNA is filed under the name Mus musculus (house mouse). RNAcentral describes it as "long non-coding RNA chr12:85060143-85062148". Lineage: Eukaryota; Metazoa; Chordata; Mammalia; Rodentia; Muridae. The record is from RNAcentral.